RNAcentral lists this ribosomal RNA (877 nucleotides) under Aquitalea sp. RNAcentral describes it as "bacterial SSU rRNA". It matches the Rfam family "Bacterial small subunit ribosomal RNA", at positions 386 to 1254 of the family's 1533-position model. The record is from RNAcentral. Lineage: Bacteria; Pseudomonadati; Pseudomonadota; Betaproteobacteria; Neisseriales; Chromobacteriaceae.
AUCCAGCCAUGCCGCGUGUCUGAAGAAGGCCUUCGGGUUGUAAAGGACUUUUGUCAGGGAGGAAAUUCCUAGCGCUAAUAUCGCUGGGGGAUGACAGUACCUGAAGAAUAAGCACCGGCUAACUACGUGCCAGCAGCCGCGGUAAUACGUAGGGUGCAAGCGUUAAUCGGAAUUACUGGGCGUAAAGCGUGCGCAGGCGGUUGUGUAAGUCUGAUGUGAAAGCCCCGGGCUUAACCUGGGAACUGCAUUGGAGACUGCACAGCUAGAGUGCGUCAGAGGGGGGUAGAAUUCCGCGUGUAGCAGUGAAAUGCGUAGAGAUGCGGAGGAAUACCGAUGGCGAAGGCAGCCCCCUGGGAUGACACUGACGCUCAUGCACGAAAGCGUGGGGAGCAAACAGGAUUAGAUACCCUGGUAGUCCACGCCCUAAACGAUGUCAACUAGCUGUUGGGGGUUUGAAUCCUUGGUAGCGUAGCUAACGCGAGAAGUUGACCGCCUGGGGAGUACGGCCGCAAGGUUAAAACUCAAAGGAAUUGACGGGGACCCGCACAAGCGGUGGAUGAUGUGGAUUAAUUCGAUGCAACGCGAAAAACCUUACCUGGUCUUGACAUGUACAGAACUUUCCAGACAUGGAUUGGUGCCCAAAAGGGAGCUGUAACACAGGUGCUGCAUGGCUGUCGUCAGCUCGUGUCGUGAGAUGUUGGGUUGAGUCCCGCAACGAGCGCAACGGGGGGCGAUUAGUUGCUACCAUUCACUUGAGCACUCUAAUGGGACUGCCGGUGACAAACCGGAAGGAGGUGCGUAUAACGUCAAGUCCUCAUGGCGCUUAUGACCAGGGGCUUCACACGUCAUACAGUGGUCGGUACAGAGGGUAACCAAC